RNAcentral lists this ribosomal RNA (393 nucleotides) under uncultured bacterium. RNAcentral's name for it is "partial 16S ribosomal RNA". It matches the Rfam family "Bacterial small subunit ribosomal RNA", at positions 523 to 918 of the family's 1533-position model. The record is from RNAcentral.
AUACGGAGGAUCCGAGCGUUAUCCGGAUUUAUUGGGUUUAAAGGGUGCGCAGGCGGGAGAUUAAGUCGGCGGUGAAAUUUUGCAGCUCAGCUGUAAAAGUGCCUUCGAAACUGGUUUCCUUGGGUGUAGAUGAAGUAGGCGGAAUUUUUGGUGUAGCGGUGAAAUGCAUAGAUAUCACGAGGAACUCCGAUUGCGCAGGCAGCUUACUAAACUACUACUGACGCUCAGGCACGAAGGCGUGGGGAUCAAACAGGAUUAGAUACCCUGGUAGUCCACGCAGUAAACGAUGAUUACUAGCUGUUUGCGAUACAAUGUAAGCGGCUGAGCGAAAGCGUUAAGUAAUCCACCUGGGGAGUACGUUCGCAAGAAUGAAACUCAAAUGAAUUGACGGGG